Molecule: long non-coding RNA, 1453 nt
Filed under: Olea europaea subsp. europaea
Lineage: Eukaryota; Viridiplantae; Streptophyta; Magnoliopsida; Lamiales; Oleaceae
Source: RNAcentral
AUUGAAUUGCACUGAAAUAGAAUUGAACCCGUAAGCUUUAAGAAACCUGUGACUCAACCAACUAUGCCAUCCCACUAUUUGCAAAACAACCCAUUUUCCACGUUUUUGAAUUGAUGUCUGGGUUUAACUGAAAACAGCCAAAACGGCUUUUUUGGCGUUUUCCAUUUUCUUUGUAAAUUUUAAACUCAUUUUUGAAAAUUCGUUUAUGAAAAUAUGUAAGUAAACGUGUUUUCAGUGUUUUCGAAAAUUAAAAACUGAAAAUGACCUGAAAAUAGCAAAAAUAACAGUCCCUAAAUGUCUUGGUUUGAGAUUGAAUUGCAUUGUUUCUGAAGUGUUUUUCAAAGUAGCUAAUGAUAUAGAGCUAGGUAUUUAUGGUUUUCUUUUGCAGGCAAAACAAUUUUGGACUCUUCUACUACUACUAUAUUUAAGUAUAGGAGUAAAGUUGACUGGGCUCUUUUGAUUUGGCCUGGUGCAAGACCACCUAUGACUAAGCCGGCACAACCCACAUUUUCCUUCCAGUCCCAGACAAGGUCACCAGCCAGGAUUUGCACCUCAAGAGAUAGCCGUUCCAAAUUCAGAUUCGCAAUAAAAUCAGUUCGAAUCGAGUAGAAUCUGCCCCAUUUCAAGUCUCGGGUUCUUUCUCCAGUUUUACACUGGUGGAAAAAAAAAAUGUUUUUACUGCAUUUAUAGUAUUACAUACACGAAGGAAAAGCGAUACUCCGAGACGUAUUUCUAUCUUAAGGAUUUAGUAACACAACUUGUAGUACAAUGCAUCAAAUUGAAAUACAAGGGAAUCAAGCACAAAAGACUGAACAAAGAACAAACUAACGGCAUACUUGGUACACUAUAUUGGACGGACAGAAAAGGACAAUAGAGAUUUCAACUUUUUUCUCAUUUUUCCAAUUCUAUCCAAUGAAAACUAACAAGUACGCCUUAAAAGUUUCAGCAUGGUUCCUUGGAAGAACUUCUUGAUGAUAGCUCGUAUCUACCAGUAUGCUGAAUUAUACAAACAGAUAUAAAGCUACUUCGAUGAUGAGGGCACAGAAUUUGGGUGAACCUUCUUGAACACAAUGGGUAAGCAACCAGCAAAAGUAGAUUUUUUCCCUUCAACAGCAUUUUUCUUACUUCUCUUGUUCGAAUCGCUUAUUUUCCCUUCAGAAGCUGCUUUUUCUUUGGUUCUCUUGUUUUCUAGUUCUCUCGUCAUCUUCUCCUUAUGAAGCUUUCUCAUCAAAUAAACUUCAGCAAUAUCCACACUAAGAGUCGACAUGGCUUAAUCAAAGGUCACCAAAAAUAAGCAGAAUCAAAAAAGAUAAAAAUAAAUAAAAGGUGGAAUUAUAGAAGCUGGUGGAUUUAGAUCGUAAUAAGAAUUGUCUAUAUGAUAAUUUAGUAGUGUAAGGGAGUAUAUAUGGUGAUCGCGAACUUGGGCUGCACGCAAAUCUUGGACACUAGUGUG